Molecule: long non-coding RNA, 483 nt
Organism: Peromyscus eremicus (cactus mouse)
Lineage: Eukaryota; Metazoa; Chordata; Mammalia; Rodentia; Cricetidae
Exons: 2
Source: RefSeq, a predicted model, not a curated record
GUCCUUGAGGGGCGACAGACAUCAUUUACUUAUUUGGUGUUCCUCAAAGCAUAUAGCAGGAUGCCAGGGUCAAACAGGGUUUUAUGGGACAUGGCUUGGGUUUUUAAGGUUGUCAACUCUGUGUGAACCUAUACUUUCAUUCACAGUCCACAAAAAAACCGUAUUUGGAAUUGCAACCUGUCCCAGUGCGAAAGAGAAACACAAAACAAAACAAACAAAAGCAAGCUGUCUGGCAUUGAAAGCGCUGGCAGCCAGAGCAGUAAUCUGUUGGUAAUUUUGCAAGGUUUCCAUGCUGAUUACACUUGGGCAGUAUCCAUGUCCCAGAGGAGGAGUCCAUACACCCCCCCAGCCACCCCAGGAACAAGACAACAUCUGCACAAAAACAGACAAGGAUUACCUUGACAAUUAAAAGAGCUGGCCACUGCUAAUGCUAUUGUCAGUGAUCUUCUACAAGAAUGUCAAUUAAAGGAAAAGCCAAUGCUA